GUGAGGAAUAUUGGUCAAUGGACGAGAGUCUGAACCAGCCAAGUAGCGUGAAGGAUGACUGCCCUAUGGGUUGUAAACUUCUUUUAUAAGGGAAUAAAGUGAGGGACGUGUCCCUUUUUGUAUGUACCUUAUGAAUAAGGAUCGGCUAACUCCGUGCCAGCAGCCGCGGUAAUACGGAGGAUCCAAGCGUUAUCCGGAUUUAUUGGGUUUAAAGGGAGCGUAGGUUGACAUAUAAGUCAGCUGUGAAAGUUUACGGCUCAACCGUGAAAUUGCAGUUGAUACUGUAUGUCUUGAGUGUACAAGAGGUGGGCGGAAAUCGUGGUGUAGCGGUGAAAUGCUUAGAUAUCACGAAGAACUCCAAUUGCGAAGGCAGCUCACUGGGGUACAACUGACACUGAGGCUCGAAAGUGUGGGUAUCAAACAGGAUUAGAUACCCGUGUAGUCC
This 445-nucleotide ribosomal RNA is filed under the name uncultured bacterium. Its description in RNAcentral is "partial 16S ribosomal RNA". It matches the Rfam family "Bacterial small subunit ribosomal RNA", at positions 354 to 796 of the family's 1533-position model. The record is from RNAcentral.